CACGUAGGAUCCGAGCGUUAUCCGAAUUUACUGGGCGUAAAGCGCGUGCAGGCGGCUGGGUAAGUUGGACGUGAAAUCUCCCGGCUCAACUGGGAGGGGUCGUUCAAGACUGCCUGGCUAGAGGGCGGUAGAGGGAGGUGGAAUUCCCGGUGUAGUGGUGAAAUGCGUAGAUAUCGGGAGGAACACCAGUGGCGAAAGCGGCCUCCUGGACCGCCCCUGACGCUUAGACGCGAAAGCUAGGGGAGCGAAC
Molecule: ribosomal RNA, 250 nt
Filed under: uncultured bacterium
Lineage: Bacteria
Description: partial 16S ribosomal RNA
Rfam family: Bacterial small subunit ribosomal RNA
Source: RNAcentral